UCAUGGCUCAGGACGAACGCUGGCGGCGUGCUUAACACAUGCAAGUCGAGCGGUAAGGCCUUUCGGGGUACACGAGCGGCGAACGGGUGAGUAACACGUGAGUAAUCUGCCCUUCACUCUGGGAUAACCUCUGGAAACGGUGGCUAAUACCGGAUAUGACAUUCUGCCGCAUGGUGGUUUGUGGAAAGUUUUUCGGUGGGGGAUGAGCUCGCGGCCUAUCAGCUUGUUGGUGGGGUGAUGGCCUACCAAGGCGACGACGGGUAGCCGGCCUGAGAGGGUGACCGGCCACACUGGGACUGAGACACGGCCCAGACUCCUACGGGAGGCAGCAGUGGGGAAUAUUGGACAAUGGGCGAAAGCCUGAUCCAGCAACGCCGCGUGAGGGAUGACGGCCUUCGGGUUGUAAACCUCUUUCAGUAGGGACGAAGCGUGAGUGACGGUACCUACAGAAGAAGGACCGGCCAACUACGUGCCAGCAGCCGCGGUAAUACGUAGGGUCCGAGCGUUGUCCGGAAUUAUUGGGCGUAAAGGGCUCGUAGGCGGUUUGUCGCGUCGGGAGUGAAAACUUGGGGCUUAACCCCAUUCGUGCUUCCGAUACGGGCAGACUAGAGGCAGGCAGGGGAGAACGGAAUUCCUGGUGUAGCGGUGGAAUGCGCAGAUAUCAGGAGGAACACCGGUGGCGAAGGCGGUUCUCUGGGCCUGUUCUGACGCUGAGGAGCGAAAGCAUGGGGAGCGAACAGGAUUAGAUACCCUGGUAGUCCAUGCCGUAAACGUUGGGCGCUAGGUGUGGGAUCCAUUCCACGGGUUCCGUGCCGCAGCUAACGCAUUAAGCG
This 833-nucleotide ribosomal RNA is filed under the name Nocardioidaceae bacterium MOLA 1557. Its description in RNAcentral is "bacterial SSU rRNA". It matches the Rfam family "Bacterial small subunit ribosomal RNA", at positions 17 to 866 of the family's 1533-position model. Lineage: Bacteria; Bacillati; Actinomycetota; Actinomycetes; Propionibacteriales; Nocardioidaceae. The record is from RNAcentral.